UACGAAGGUGGCAAGCGUUGUUCGGAUUUACUGGGCGUACAGGGAGCGUAGGCGGUUGGAUAAGCCCUCCGUGAAAUCUCCAGGCUUAACCUGGAAAGUGCAGAGGGGACUGUUCAGCUAGAGGAUGGGAGAGGAGCGCGGAAUUCCCGGUGUAGCGGUGAAAUGCGUAGAGAUCGGGAGGAAGGCCGGUGGCGAAGGCGGCGCUCUGGACCGACACUGACGCUGAGGCGCGAAAGCGUGGGGAGCAAACAGG
RNAcentral lists this ribosomal RNA (253 nucleotides) under uncultured bacterium. RNAcentral's name for it is "partial 16S ribosomal RNA". It matches the Rfam family "Bacterial small subunit ribosomal RNA", at positions 524 to 776 of the family's 1533-position model. The record is from RNAcentral.